AUGGACAAUAUCAUUAAGCGUUGGAAAAUAAACAAACUGGAAAAGUUUAAGACAUUUUCAAACCCUGUGCUUCCCAGAGGGCGUCUGGGGCCCCUGGCAGGACAAGGAUCUGCUGGCCUGGGUUUAUACUGUGUUGAUGACUUGACCCCUCCAGCUGUGAGAAGCCAAACUGACAGCAGGGUUGUUUUCACUCAGCUUCCCAGGAUCGCAAACUUGAUUUGGGAGGCAUUUGCGCUGAUUUGCGCCGAGGUCUCCAGCGACUCGCGCCGGGCUUCCUUCCCCGGGAGAGAGCAGGACGGGAGUGGGCUGGUGGCUCUGGUGGCUGACAGCUGUCGUAAACCAACGUGUCCUGCAGUCAUCCCACAGGGCAGGGGGCGGGCAGGGGAGCCGUGGGAGGGGCGCUGUGCAGGAAGGCUUCUUUCCAUCUUGCUGAAAUCCUCACAGGAUAGUCAUGGGCAUAACAUGCACCCUGCAAUAGUUGUAUUCAAACUGGAGCAUCGAGGUGCACUCAAGGUCACCCCCACAUCACGGUCACGUCCACUUCGGAAAAUGGUGUGAUACAUCAUCAAUUUUCCAGCUCACCUUUUGCAAGCCAGUUCAGGCACCCUAGCCUGAAAUCCUCUCUGGCCACCUGGACCAGGUAAGUGGGGUCCAGGCCUUCCUCUGGGGCCCCCAUUGCACAUUGCAUUAUUAUUCACAGCUGGGUCUUCUUGUGCCCCUUGCUAGACUGUGCGCUCCUGGAAGGCAAGAUUCCAAUCUUACUGCUUUUUUGUAUCCCCUUUCCAGCGCAAUGUCUCACGUAUGACAUACCUGAGUAGGUGAUGGCUGAGGGAAUGAAGGAAAGAAACCGUAACUAUUGUCAUUUGAUUUCCAAAACAACCUUGGGAACCAAGCAGGGCAGGAAUCUGAGCCCUGAUUUCCUGGGGAAAAAAAGCAGCAGCAGCAGAGGCUCCAGGAGGGUAGGGCCUUGCUUAAGGUCACCUGAUUCCUGGAGCUGGCGCCAGGGCUGCGGUGCAGUCUGGUAGCUCCAAGAGAGGUUUCUCCGCCCACGCUUGCUCUGCUGCCUGGAGAGGCACUCCCCAGCAGCCUCCUGCACAGGUGGUUCCCUGGUGCUUCCCAUCCAGGUCCCUGCCCCGCCCCCAGCACCGGCUUUGAAAGAGUUGGCCUAGCAAACCAACUGUAAUUAGGCGGUAAUAAUGACUCCAUUUUCUCGUUUUUAUUAAUAAAAGGCAUAUGCGCCCUGCCA
This 1246-nucleotide long non-coding RNA is filed under the name Oryctolagus cuniculus (rabbit). RNAcentral's name for it is "lncRNA (ENSOCUG00000038786.1)". Lineage: Eukaryota; Metazoa; Chordata; Mammalia; Lagomorpha; Leporidae. The record is from RNAcentral.